Molecule: long non-coding RNA, 370 nt
Organism: Engraulis encrasicolus (European anchovy)
Lineage: Eukaryota; Metazoa; Chordata; Actinopteri; Clupeiformes; Engraulidae
Exons: 3
Source: RefSeq, a predicted model, not a curated record
CCUGCAGUAUUCUGUUUACCAGACUUUCCACCAGAAUUAAAAGCUGCUCUGCUGAGAAAGGAUCCUGCCUUUAAAAAGAAGGAUAAAUCACAUUUGCGUGCACUGUUGAUUCAAGUGUUGUUUGACAACAUCACUAAACACACAUGGUAUCCCAGUCACAAAAUGUACGGAGACGUUCUGGGUACCCUGACAAUGAAAUAUCCUUUUUUAAAGGAUGGCAGCUCUUCUGGACAUGCAACACUAUUGGAAUGUUUGCGUAACAAAUUUAAGAAGGAGAGAAGGCCUCUUCUGAAUUCAGCUGUAGUGGAAGAGAUGAAAGUCAAAUAUGGCUCAAAGAAGAGGACCUCCGCCCAGAUGACUGACUGCCAUU